ACGAAGGGGGCUAGCGUUGCUCGGAAUGACUGGGCGUAAAGGGCGUGCAGGCGGUUUUUACAGUCAGAUGUGAAAUCCCCGGGCUUAACCUGGGAGCUGCAUUUGAUACGUAGAGGCUGGAGUAUGGGAGAGGGUUGUGGAAUUCCCAGUGUAGAGGUGAAAUUCGUAGAUAUUGGGAAGAACACCGGUGGCGAAGGCGGCAACCUGGCCCAUUACUGACGCUGAGGCGCGAAAGCGUGGGGAGCGAACAGG
RNAcentral lists this ribosomal RNA (252 nucleotides) under uncultured bacterium. RNAcentral describes it as "partial 16S ribosomal RNA". It matches the Rfam family "Bacterial small subunit ribosomal RNA", at positions 525 to 776 of the family's 1533-position model. The record is from RNAcentral.